This 720-nucleotide ribosomal RNA is filed under the name Entrophospora etunicata. Its description in RNAcentral is "LSU rRNA". It matches the Rfam family "Eukaryotic large subunit ribosomal RNA", at positions 78 to 649 of the family's 3401-position model. The record is from RNAcentral. Lineage: Eukaryota; Fungi; Glomeromycota; Glomeromycetes; Entrophosporales; Entrophosporaceae.
CCCUAGUAACGGCGAGUGAAGAGGGAAGAGCUCAAAUUUUAAAUCUGCCUUGUUCCAAGGUCGAGUUGUAAUUUGAAGAAGCGUUUUCUUGGGCUCGCGGCCGGUAGAAGUUCUUUGGAACAGGACAUCAUAGAGGGUGACAAUCCCGUCCGUGACCGGUCGUGCGUUCAUCUACGAUACGCUUUCAAAGAGUCGAGUUGUUUGGGAUUGCAGCUCCAAACGGGUGGUAAACAUCACCUAAGGCUAAAUAUUGGCGAGAGACCGAUAGCGAACAAGUACCGUGAGGGAAAGAUGAAAAGAACUUUGAAAAGAGAGUUAAACAGUACGUGAAAUUGUUGAAAGGGAAACGAUUGAAGUCAGUCGUGCUGGCGCGAAAUCAACCCUCUCGUCUUGAGAUCACAUGGCGCGACGAGCCUCAAAACCGUCACGAAGCGUGAACUCUUGACGAAAAGGUGCACUUUCGUGUCCGCUGGUUAACAUCAAUUUCGAACGUCAUAAAAAGGCUGGAGGGAUGUGGCUCCUUCGGGAGUGUUAUAACCUUUAGCGGAAUGUGGCGUUCGGGAUUGAGGAUUGCAACGAAUACCUUCAGGGCUGUUCCACCUGGCUUCUCAUUGGUAUCCUGGUGACGACAGCUUGCUGACGUCGUUAGGAUCAGCUUCUGAACAGGCUAGAGUGUGAGCAAAUUCGUUAAGGAUGUUAACGUAAUGGCUUUAAACGACC